UNGUAAGAGAUCAAGGUAGCUGGAGACC
RNAcentral lists this non-coding RNA (28 nucleotides) under Mus musculus (house mouse). Lineage: Eukaryota; Metazoa; Chordata; Mammalia; Rodentia; Muridae. The record is from RNAcentral.